Molecule: ribosomal RNA, 2923 nt
Filed under: Klebsiella pneumoniae subsp. pneumoniae KPNIH24
Lineage: Bacteria; Pseudomonadati; Pseudomonadota; Gammaproteobacteria; Enterobacterales; Enterobacteriaceae
Description: bacterial LSU rRNA
Rfam family: Bacterial large subunit ribosomal RNA
Source: RNAcentral
GGGUUGUGAGGUUAAGCGACUAAGCGUACACGGUGGAUGCCCUGGCAGUCAGAGGCGAUGAAGGACGUGCUAAUCUGCGAAAAGCGUCGGUAAGGUGAUAUGAACCGUUACAGCCGGCGAUGUCCGAAUGGGGAAACCCAGUGCAAUUCGUUGCACUAUCGUUAACUGAAUACAUAGGUUAACGAGGCGAACCGGGGGAACUGAAACAUCUAAGUACCCCGAGGAAAAGAAAUCAACCGAGAUUCCCCCAGUAGCGGCGAGCGAACGGGGAGCAGCCCAGAGUCUGAAUCAGCUUGUGUGUUAGUGGAACGGUCUGGAAAGUCCGACGGUACAGGGUGAUAGUCCCGUACACCAAAAUGCACAGGUUGUGAACUCGAAGAGUAGGGCGGGACACGUGGUAUCCUGUCUGAAUAUGGGGGGACCAUCCUCCAAGGCUAAAUACUCCUGACUGACCGAUAGUGAACCAGUACCGUGAGGGAAAGGCGAAAAGAACCCCGGCGAGGGGAGUGAAAAAGAACCUGAAACCGUGUACGUACAAGCAGUGGGAGCACCUUCGGGUGUGACUGCGUACCUUUUGUAUAAUGGGUCAGCGACUUAUAUUCUGUAGCAAGGUUAACCGUAUAGGGGAGCCGCAGGGAAACCGAGUCUUAACUGGGCGUUAAGUUGCAGGGUAUAGACCCGAAACCCGGUGAUCUAGCCAUGGGCAGGUUGAAGGUUGGGUAACACUAACUGGAGGACCGAACCGACUAAUGUUGAAAAAUUAGCGGAUGACUUGUGGCUGGGGGUGAAAGGCCAAUCAAACCGGGAGAUAGCUGGUUCUCCCCGAAAGCUAUUUAGGUAGCGCCUCGUGAACUCAUCUUCGGGGGUAGAGCACUGUUUCGGCUAGGGGGUCAUCCCGACUUACCAACCCGAUGCAAACUACGAAUACCGAAGAAUGUUAUCACGGGAGACACACGGCGGGUGCUAACGUCCGUCGUGAAGAGGGAAACAACCCAGACCGCCAGCUAAGGUCCCAAAGUCAUGGUUAAGUGGGAAACGAUGUGGGAAGGCACAGACAGCCAGGAUGUUGGCUUAGAAGCAGCCAUCAUUUAAAGAAAGCGUAAUAGCUCACUGGUCGAGUCGGCCUGCGCGGAAGAUGUAACGGGGCUAAACCAUGCACCGAAGCUGCGGCAGCGACACUAUGUGUUGUUGGGUAGGGGAGCGUUCUGUAAGCCUGCGAAGGUGUGCUGUGAGGCAUGCUGGAGGUAUCAGAAGUGCGAAUGCUGACAUAAGUAACGAUAAAGCGGGUGAAAAGCCCGCUCGCCGGAAGACCAAGGGUUCCUGUCCAACGUUAAUCGGGGCAGGGUGAGUCGACCCCUAAGGCGAGGCCGAAAGGCGUAGUCGAUGGGAAACAGGUUAAUAUUCCUGUACUUGGUGUUACUGCGAAGGGGGGACGGAGAAGGCUAUGUUAGCCGGGCGACGGUUGUCCCGGUUUAAGCAUGUAGGCUGGUUAUCCAGGCAAAUCCGGAUAAUCAAGGCUGAGGUGUGAUGACGAGGCACUACGGUGCUGAAGUAACAAAUGCCCUGCUUCCAGGAAAAGCCUCUAAGCAUCAGGUAACAUCAAAUCGUACCCCAAACCGACACAGGUGGUCAGGUAGAGAAUACCAAGGCGCUUGAGAGAACUCGGGUGAAGGAACUAGGCAAAAUGGUGCCGUAACUUCGGGAGAAGGCACGCUGGUGUGUAGGUGAAGUCCCUGCGGAUGGAGCUGAGACCAGUCGAAGAUACCAGCUGGCUGCAACUGUUUAUUAAAAACACAGCACUGUGCAAACACGAAAGUGGACGUAUACGGUGUGACGCCUGCCCGGUGCCGGAAGGUUAAUUGAUGGGGUUAUCCGUAAGGAGAAGCUCUUGAUCGAAGCCCCGGUAAACGGCGGCCGUAACUAUAACGGUCCUAAGGUAGCGAAAUUCCUUGUCGGGUAAGUUCCGACCUGCACGAAUGGCGUAAUGAUGGCCAGGCUGUCUCCACCCGAGACUCAGUGAAAUUGAACUCGCUGUGAAGAUGCAGUGUACCCGCGGCAAGACGGAAAGACCCCGUGAACCUUUACUAUAGCUUGACACUGAACAUUGAGCCUUGAUGUGUAGGAUAGGUGGGAGGCUUUGAAGCGUGGACGCCAGUCUGCGUGGAGCCAACCUUGAAAUACCACCCUUUAAUGUUUGAUGUUCUAACGUUGGCCCCUUACCGGGGUUGCGGACAGUGUCUGGUGGGUAGUUUGACUGGGGCGGUCUCCUCCCAAAGCGUAACGGAGGAGCACGAAGGUUAGCUAAUCCUGGUCGGACAUCAGGAGGUUAGUGCAAUGGCAUAAGCUAGCUUGACUGCGAGCGUGACGGCGCGAGCAGGUGCGAAAGCAGGUCAUAGUGAUCCGGUGGUUCUGAAUGGAAGGGCCAUCGCUCAACGGAUAAAAGGUACUCCGGGGAUAACAGGCUGAUACCGCCCAAGAGUUCAUAUCGACGGCGGUGUUUGGCACCUCGAUGUCGGCUCAUCACAUCCUGGGGCUGAAGUAGGUCCCAAGGGUAUGGCUGUUCGCCAUUUAAAGUGGUACGCGAGCUGGGUUUAGAACGUCGUGAGACAGUUCGGUCCCUAUCUGCCGUGGGCGCUGGAGAAUUGAGGGGGGCUGCUCCUAGUACGAGAGGACCGGAGUGGACGCAUCACUGGUGUUCGGGUUGUCAUGCCAAUGGCACUGCCCGGUAGCUAAAUGCGGAAGAGAUAAGUGCUGAAAGCAUCUAAGCACGAAACUUGCCCCGAGAUGAGUUCUCCCUGAGACUUUAAGUCUCCUGAAGGAACGUUGAAGACGACGACGUUGAUAGGCCGGGUGUGUAAGCGCAGCGAUGCGUUGAGCUAACCGGUACUAAUGAACCGUGAGGCUUAACCUUACAACGCCGAAG